ACACAUAAAACGCCAGGGUACUACGAGCUAAGCUUAAAACCCAAAGGAUUUGACGGUGUUUCACCCAACUAGAGGAGCCUGUUCUAUAAUCGAUAGUCCACGAUCUACCUAACCAUUUUUUGCUACGCAGCCUGUAUACCUCCGUCGUAAGUUUACCACUUAAGUGAAUAGAAGUGAGCAAAAGGACUUAGAGCCAAAACGUCAGGUCAAGGUGCAGCUUAUGAAAUGGAAGAAAUGAGCUACAAUUUCUAAUUUAGAACACACGAAUUACUGCAUGAAACAAGGUCAUGAAGGUGGAUUUAGCAGUAAGUAGGGAAUAGAGAGCCCUACUUAAUUUUGGCCCUGAAACG
Molecule: ribosomal RNA, 350 nt
Filed under: Polypedates macrotis (Baram whipping frog)
Lineage: Eukaryota; Metazoa; Chordata; Amphibia; Anura; Rhacophoridae
Description: partial 12S ribosomal RNA
Rfam family: Bacterial small subunit ribosomal RNA
Source: RNAcentral